CCGCAGCCCCCGCCCCGCCCCCGCCCGCCCCCGCGCCGCGGUGAAAGGAAAAAAUAUCUCCUUCCUCGCCCCAACCCGCGGUAACAAAUCCUCCACCGGCGGCGGCGGUAGAUCUCCUUCCUCCGCCUCCUCCCCUUCUCCCUUUUCGCGAAACCCCCGAUUUAUUCCCCACGAAUCCGCAGCGACACCAAAUCCGCCUCUUCCUCCCCCCGUCCCCCACUCCUUAUCUCGCCGCCGCAAUCCGUCCGGCCGACUGACCCCUGCCGCCGCCCCGCGAGCCCCGCGGAGCGCUGUCAAGGUUGCUUUUUUAUUCUUCUUUCGUUCCGGGAACAGGUCGGCGGCCGGCCAUGGCGGCGGAGGAGGCGAGCAGCAGCGGCGGCGGGGGCGGCGAGGAGGGGUCCGGCGCCGGCGGGUGGACGCGGGAGCAGGAGAAGGCGUUCGAGAACGCGCUGGCCACGGUGGACGAGGAGGAGGGGGAGGCCAUGUGGGACAAGAUAGCCGACGCCGUCGAGGGCAAGACGCCCGAGGAGGUCCGGCGGCACUACGAGCUGCUCGUGGAGGACGUGGACGGCAUCGAGGCCGGCCGCGUGCCGCUCCUCGUCUACGCCGGCGACGGCGAGGAGGGGGGCUCCGGCGCCGGGGCUGGGGGCAGCGGCGGGGGCGGGGGCGGGGGCGGGAAGAAGAGCGGCGGAGGAGGGGGCGGGCACGGGGAGAAGGGCUCGUCCAAGUCCGCCGAGCAGGAGCGCCGCAAGGGGAUCGCCUGGACCGAGGACGAGCACAGGUUGUUUCUUCUUGGACUUGAAAAGUAUGGCAAAGGUGACUGGAGGAGCAUCUCAAGGAACUUCGUCAUCUCAAGGACGCCCACUCAGGUCGCCAGUCACGCGCAGAAGUACUUCAUCCGCCUCAACUCGAUGAACAGGGAGAGGCGGCGAUCAAGCAUACACGACAUCACCAGCGUGAACGGAGAGGCAUCAGCGGCUCAGGGCCCAAUCACAGGCACAAAUGGGCAGGCCGCAGUCCCCGGCAAGUCCCCCAAGCAAUCCCCGCACCAGCCAGGGAACCUGCCCCCAGGCGUGGACGCCUUCGGCACAACGAUCGGGCAGCCGGUCGGCGGCCCCCUCGUGUCCGCCGUCGGCACCCCGGUCACGCUCCCUGUUGCUGCGCCACCUCACAUGGGGUACGCCAUGCACGCCCCGGUCCCAGGAACCGUGGUGCCCCGUGCUCCAAUGUACCCGAUGCCGCCCCCGCCGUCCCGGUGAUGCCCCCCUGCUGCAAAAUAGACGUUGUUAAGCGAUGCUGCUGGGCUUCCUGACAGACCAAUUCAGAACCUUCUCCAUGUUGUCCGGCCUUGCAGUGAAAUGCUCUGUUAUGUCUGAAUAAAGGAAUAACCUAUAAACUCUUGUACAUUACAGAUGGUGUUAUGGACGUUGCGGAUUAUAUGUAAUCGUGUCGCGUUUCAUCGUCGUCGUUCGAUGUUCGCCUUCGGGUUGGAUGGAUGGAUACUGGGUGUGUUUCUGUUGGUGAUCUGUGUGAUGCAGGCACAGGAGAAGAUUUACUUGGCAAUGUAUGAAUUGGUUAUUACAGAGAUUAUCAUCUGCGGUGUAUCUUUGUAACGGUGAAUCAUCAAAGAUUUGUCCAGG
Molecule: ribosomal RNA, 1640 nt
Filed under: Triticum aestivum (bread wheat)
Lineage: Eukaryota; Viridiplantae; Streptophyta; Magnoliopsida; Poales; Poaceae
Description: partial small subunit ribosomal RNA
Source: RNAcentral